Molecule: unclassified non-coding RNA, 416 nt
Filed under: Hevea brasiliensis (rubber tree)
Lineage: Eukaryota; Viridiplantae; Streptophyta; Magnoliopsida; Malpighiales; Euphorbiaceae
Source: RNAcentral
UUAUUAUUAUUAUUAUUAGUUAAAUGCGUGUACGCAUAAUAUUGCAGAUUUUUAUUUAAAAACUUAUUUAUAUUUCGAAUUUAAUAAGUAUUUGUUAAAAUACCACUUAAAAGUAAAAUAAAAAUUGCUAAGGAAAAUAUUGACAAUUGACUGUUAUAAAUAUAUUUAUUUUAAGAAAAAUUAUUAAAUAAAAUUUUCCCUAAAUAACUGUAGCCCUUAUUUUCCUUAUUUUUCAAAACAGUAAUUAAAAUAGAAUGCAAUUAUUUGUCUUAUUGUGAAAUUGCAAUUAAGGUUCCUAAUGAAAGGAGAAAAAGGUUGAGCAGAUUGCGCUGUUAAGCUUUUGAAACGCUUAGUAAAGAUGGAAAAUAGAAGAAAACAAAACAAUAUUCAAAACGGAGACGGAGACGGAGACGGAG